GGAAAUGCCAGUGACAUUGCUGAAUAUCAAUCUGCUUCAUCAAUAACAAUCCCGACUAGCUACACCACGACCGUGUUUGCAUCUACUACACUAUGUCGUGCCUUGCAUCAUCAUCUUCCUCAACGCACAUGUGCUGCCGUCAGAAGCAAUGAUUCCACCUCCAACACCUAUAGCGCAGUCAUCUACAUCACCUUUUCCAACAGCAACUAUACUGACAGAUCUUGUCUCUACUUUGACCUACUGCACCACUACGUCGAUGACUACUUCUACCUUGGAGACAUGUAUCAAGGCGCCACCUGCCAACACUACACCAACAUUAGACCUAGAUGCAAGAGAUAAAUCUACCAUCGACAUGGAGGGGUUUGCCUCCACCAGAUCGUCUACUUCUCCAGCCCUCACUCUACACUAGGAUGACAAUGAAUCUACAUCUACAACUACCUCGAUUUCAUCCUUCAUUGACAACUCCGCGGAGCAACACGUACAAGUGAUUGUUACUAUGACUCCUGUCACGGGAACUAUCAUGGCAUCACCGCGCUCGUCGACAGUUUUUGAGGCCAUGACCUCGCAAUCUCCUACUCAAUGGUCCUAGGCUCCUGGGUUCUUGGAUCGUCAAACAUUCCCACUCCCUCCAACCCUUCCAUGCCAUUAAUUACAUUGAUCAGACUUUAGCCACUUUUCAAAUCAUGGCCAUACAUUAUUUAAUGUAGUAAUUUCCUUCCAAAAUAUUCUUUAUUACUUUCUCCUAAAUAUUGCUUUCCCGAUCACCUCAAUACCACUCACAUCCAGUUCCAUGUUCCCUGCCACUAAUUCCAUUGCACACAUUAGUUUUUAAAACCGCUGUGUUAGCACAGGUGAUAUAUAUUAAUAGGCUUGGAAUGACCCUGCAAUUGUGUGGCUAGAGAUUAAUUUUAUUCGCAGGUCCAAAAAGGAGAGGAAUUUACAUUAACUCAAUAUAGGUGCUAAUUUGCAAUGCUUAACCGUUCGUUAAGCUUAUUAUAGGAAGUAAAUAUAACUUCAAAGUGUUGCAAAUCUGGUUUUCCAUCCACGUAAACACAUGUACUAAGGUUGAGAAUACCAUUCAAGAGUAAAAUGUACCUAGGAUUCUGAUCUUGGUCCAUAUAUAUAGUCUCUUAUUGUGAGCAUCUAGAUCCUUAAACAACUUUUUAAAUGGUUCACUCUAAGUUCACAUUAGGUGCAGUAUUAAGUUUGGAUUUUCACUUGAAAUGAACCACUUGACAAGUUUAAGGGCUCACAUGUUCACUUAGAGAGUUAUUUUAUCUCGAACACGUAAGAGAAUUGUGUAUCAUUAUAUUAAGAAGAAUAAAGAGUUUAGGGUCUAAAUGGAAAUUCAGAACAAGUUAAAGGUCCAUGGGUGCGCAUUACUUCAUUUUAAAACACCAGAGUCCUAUUCUUGAAGGAAACCUGCCAUAUUUAGCGUUCAUAUAUCUGUGCAUAAAUAAGGUAAAAGAGCAAAUAAAUGGUUGUCCUGCUGGUUUUGAUGCAUGCACGAUUAGUCUUUGUCCCAAACUAAAAACAUGACACCUUCGGUUUCUUCAUGUUGGCUGAUUGUAACUUGCAUUUUUUUUAGUCUCAGAAUUCUAAUUGAUUCAGCGCGCGCCAUCAAGGCAACAUGGGUUGUGUUCGAUGAAAGAGGACCCAAUGACAAAGGUCUUCUGGACCUCAUCAAAUUGUUCAGCGCCUUGCAGCCUGCAAGUAAGCUUGUUUAUACCUUGACACAAAGUCUGAAUCAUGUCAGGCAAGGAAACUAAAAUCCCUGGUUUGAAUUUUUCUCUUGCUUGCAAGUACUGCUGUGUAUUAUUCUGUGUGAACUGAAAUAUGCCGGUGUUGAUCUCCAACAGGAGCAUGUUCUUGCCUGCAACAACUCAUAUGCAGAAUUGCAGAGAUAACCAUGCCAUGUUGAUCUUCAACAAGAGCAUGUUCUUGGCAUACAUCUAUCUUUACGACGACAAGACUUGCGAGCUGGAUGGCUCAACAAAGACCACAUUGCGUCACCAUUAAACAUUAUUGUGGAUAUGUAAGUGUAGUAUCAGAGUUUCAGUUUGCUGGUAUGAAUAUGAACCCUCAGUGAAAACAUAGGUUGGUAUUUUUCAAGUGUCCAUCGCUCAUGUGGUGUUGUCCAGAUUGCAUAAUGUUCUAGAGAGAUAAGGUACUCAGGUUCAGAAGCAGCAUUAUCUUCUCCAAUGGAAUACAAUAUCUGUGGAGUCGAGGCUGGUAGGUCUAUAUCAUAAUUUUGUUUCACUAUCUGAUCAUUCAUCUGGAUAGUUUAAGUCUCCUAAUAACAUAUGUGUGGGGUGGGGGUUAUUACUUGUAACAAGUUUUCGUUGUGCUACAGUCAGGUGCUCAACAUCUCAUCAGCAUGAUUAGCAAGAAACAACAGGAGAAAAGUUGUAAGGCCAUAGUAGUCUUUUUUUCAGAUUCACUUAUCGGCAGUUACUUGUCACGGCGAUCAAGGACUUAUCAUUUGAACUAUGUAUCUGCAACAAAGGGUGCUACAGACCGGGUUAUAGAACAAAGGUGACAAGAAAGUUUAGGUUAUACAUGGAUGGAGAUGUAUAGCUCAGUACGAUCAGGACAUGGAGGAGAUAUCCUACCACAAAGGUACUAUUGCUGUUACGAUCAAGGACUGCUAAAUCUGAAACAAAUAUUUGAUCCAAGGAAAAAUAAAAGAAAGCAGAAGGAAAUUUCCAUCGUACACAGCACAGGUUGAUCAACAAAGUUAAGAUGACAUAAAACUAAGUUAAAACUACAGCUGAUACAAGAGAGAACCCACAUGACUAAAACUAGAUAAACAUGGGAUUCCGCUGAAGAUAGCCUGCUCCUAGCUAGCCUGCUACUACAUAACACAAUUUUGCACUUGAGACAAGCAACAACCAUGGAUUGGUCAGCAGCUGCAUGCAGAACAUCUCUCACAUGUUCCCAUUGAAGAAAGCAUCACCAUUGCUGAGGAAAUCAGAUUGUCAGAAAGAAAAAGUUUAGAUAAUUAAACCUUAUUUAAGUAUUCAUCAGUUUCACAUGUAAAUCCUGCUGUAAAAUAAAAGGAUAGGAAAAGAGCAAGAAUGGUCUUACUUGCUUAACCCAGUCAGCCAAAAAGUCAUCCAAAUCAUCAAUCAUCGCCCCAUCUUGCGCUUCGCUUGUUCCGGUAGGGUGUUCAUUGUUGUUACUCACUUGAUCACCAACAGCUUGCUGAUCAACGGUGCCACCUCCAAGGAAGUUUCCAGAUGAACCCCUAUCACUCAGCAUCUGCGUCGGCAUAACAGAAUUUCCUAUCUGAAGGUUAGCCAAUGCAGGUCCAACACUUGAAGAACUACCCAAGGCAGAACUACCGACCGACAUUGCAGAGAUUCCAAAGUUGAAUGGUGCCACCUGCCCACUAAAACCUAGCAUUGGUGUGGUUCUCCCUGAUAGUCCUGCCAUUUGAUUAUGAUAUUCACUUCCAAAAGUUGGAACAUCGCCAGAGGAGGCUACAAAUCUUGAUGUCUGGUUGAUCCUGGCACUGCUUCCCUGUGAUGAACUAAUAAUAGAUGUUCCUGCACUAUGACCAACAUCAGGGAACCUCGAUUGCACACCAACACUCCAAGAGUUGCUAGGGUUACAAAGUCCAGCAAAUUGGUGAGAUUCCCUAGCAACUUGGUUGAAAUGGCCAGUUGGAGAUGGCUGAAUCUGGAUUGAAGGCUGGUUCACCAACUCCGACGAAUGCGAUGGUAAAUGAUGACUCGAAGGAGCCACUUGGUUGAAUAGGCCAGUAGAAGAUGGCUGAAUCUGAAUUGAAUGUUGGUUUGCCAACUCAGGAGACUGCAACGCUAAAUAACUGGGAAGAGCCGGCAUAUCACCACCUGCUAUCUCUUCAAAGAAGCUGUCGGCAUCAAAAGGAAUACCUCUAUUUGCAUCCAACAUCUUGCGACGCAAUAUGCUUGCAUACGAGCUGCAAGAACGAGUCGAAGGAAAGUGCAUGCUGGUGGUCGAUGGUGAACUGUCAUUUGAGAUGUUUGCAAAUGAAUUGCCAGAAGUACCAGAAGAGAAAGGUCUGCUUGUGUUGAACACCACACCAUUUGAUAUAUUUCCAGAUGAGCUGCUAGAAGGACCAGAAGGGAAGCACUGGCUUGCACUUGACAGCCCACCAAUUGACACGGUUCCAUAGGACCUGCCAGAAAAGAUUGAUCUGCUCACAUCCUGCACUGGCACUGACACUGGCACAACAUUUGUGGGCAGGUUGACACCAUUGCCAACUGGUUCGGUAUCCUGCUGUAAAUUGUGUGUUCCGAAUGCUGAUGGGCAACUUAUCCUUGCAAAACCAUUGCUUGAGCUGGACGUGCCAAUAGAGGAUGGAGAUGGUUGCACAAGUUCUAGAUGAUCCUGGGAACUGUUUGGUCCAUUCAUGUUGGCAGUUGUGUCACUCAGCCAUGCUUGUGGUUCAUCAACAAAAGGAUUUGAAUGGCUGAGUGUGCCCUCACUCAGCUUCCUCAGGUAGAUACGGUACUUCUGAAAUCAAAAGAUAGACAAGUUUAUUUCGUUAAUAAAAAAGAUUGAUAAGGACGUCAACACACAAUUGAAAGUGUUUUGUAGUAGUAAUGUUACAAAUGUAUGUGUUAAUCCCAAACUCAAUAUUUGUGUGCAAGCCAUUAGAACUUUUAUGUGUGGCACACGCAAGGUUCAGACGAGUGUCGCACACACAAAUUCCGUUGACAUAAACACAAGUAUUGUGUUUGAGAUGAUAACCCAGAAGAAACAAGUUUGAUUGAAUAUAUUGAACAAUAUUAUAGCAGAAAGAACUCAAACAUAGUAUUCAAGCAUAAUAGUAGAAACAAAACCUGCAGAUGACUUGCAACAUUGUCUCUACUGAGGCCGUCCACAUUCAUCACUUCAAGUAUGUUCUUUGGAACAGCCCCUGCAUUAACAGAAACAAAAUAAUUGUUACUUGAAACAAAUUUAACAUAAGAAUUAUGCUUCUUGUUGAUAGAUUUGCAACAAAAAGAGAAUCUUACUGUCCAUGCCAAUCUGAUUGAUGGCUUCCACAAACUUGCGGUGUAGCUGACCAGACCACUUGAUCCUUUGCCUCUUCUGGGUUGAUGUCCCCUCCUUGUCCUUUUCAGCACCAUCUCCAUCCUUUUUGUUCUUCUUCGAGUGCUUCGUGUGGUGUGCACUUUUCUUCCCAUCAGUGACGCUGUUCCUCACAUCGGUUCUAUCCUUCCUCACCACAUGCUUCCAUAUGUUUCUAAUAUGUUCCAUGCGUGCUGGCUUCACCAAAUAGUCACAAGCCCCGUUCUUUAUACCCUUCAUCAUAAUGUCCAUCUCAUCGUUUGCGGAUAGCACUGCAUGACACAUGGUCAACACAAGAUUAGUUAUGAAAUGCAAAAGCCAACAAGCUUGAUAGACUGGACAUCAAAUAAUUAACGUGCCUUUAUGUUAAUCAUUAGAGAUAUUUUUCCUUUUUCAUUUUAUUGAGUCAUUAUAUGUGCUGUUUACAUUAUGUUUGAAGAAAGUGUGUCACACAUGCUGCAGAACACCAAGUCCUGGCCAUGGCCACUUUUGCGUUUCAAAGAAUUUAAUAAGAGAAUUUAUAGAAUGUACAUUGUUCACCACAUCCUUAUUAUGAAAUCAACAAUAGCUCUAAUGACCAAUAUUCUUUUAAAGAAAACCACAAAAGUUUGUAGUUAUCUUGUGUGCACCAAGAGCUUACUAACCUACUGUGAUGCAUGAAACAUCAAAUGGUAGGAUUCUUAUUCGCUUGAUUUCAGCUAGUGAUUAUGAACUAACAAUAAUGUACAAAUUGUACUAGAAGCGACAAAAAAAUCAAUUGCACGUAGGGCUUACAUACAAACCUUAACUAAUGUAUGAAACUAAAAAUAACAAAGUAAAGGGAUCAACUUAAUGCCUUGACAACAAAAAAAUAUAGCAUGUAGGACCUCCAAACAAACUGUAAUGUAUGAAACUAAAAAUGACAACAUUAAGUGAUCAAUUCAACACCAUUUAUGGCUGGUAGACAAUUGGUAACAUACAAAAUUAUAAACAAGAAAAUUCAAUUGCAUGUAGGGCUUACUAACAAACUGUAAUAGUAUAUGUCGACGUUUAGUAACGUCAACUGGUGAAGAUUUGCCGCGUGAAUUCUCGGAUGGAUUAGCUCGCAAGACACAGGAGAUUUAUACUAGUUUGGGCGAUCCGCCCUACGUCCAGCUCGUGGUACAAGUUCUUUAUUCAUGUGCUUGAGGAGCACAGGGCUCAAGUUUGUAGUAGGGGUUACAAACGGUGCGUGUGUUCUACUGGGGAUCGAAUCCCUCUCCCGUUCCCCUCCAUGCCCUUAUAUACACGGCUCAUGGGAGGUGUUACACUGUUGGUCGCGUCCUCUUAUUCAGUUAGGAGCAUCCCUCUGACCAGUGGCCAUAGGCCCCGUCCCUCAGUCGGGGCUUCUCCUCGCUUGACUUCCGUCGAAACCUUCAUCCGGGGCCCGUUCAUCCGGUCGCCUCGGUCACCGAACCUGACCCCUACACUUAUCCGAGGGCGGCACCUGUCAUCAGUCUCAUCACCUGGCGUUGCCAUGCUGGUGGACAGAGACUGGGCAGGCAUGACCGGGCACAGUGUUGCGACACCGUCCCCGACUGGGGAUCUUUGUCUUGAAGUGGUUGUCGUGCUCUCCUAGGCACAGAAUACGGUACGCCUGACUGGUCAGCCCGUGUUUUCUUGUCUCAGCCCACGCGAGCACCGCUACGGUUGUCAUAUCAGGCAGACCUAGCCACGCCCUAGGGACGUGGUAGGCCUGGCCCAUCAUUGCGCCUCGGCCUUCGCUUGGUAACUUGGGCCAGGCUAGCAAACUGUUUAUCUUGAUUCCCGGGCCUCCUUCUGGGGCACCGCCGGUUAGCUAAAUAAUGAUGUCAGUGGUUUUUCGUUCGGCCCAAUCGGUAUCUUCUUCCUAAUCUCACCCUUUUCCGGACUUGUCGAUCCGGGCUUGUCGAUAGAUUAAAGUAUCCCUAAUCUAGAUACCCGUAAGUAUAUGAACUAAAUUAGAAGUAACAAUAUGAGUGGUCAGUUCAACACCAUCUAGCUCUUAUGAACAAGCAGAAACGUAGAAAACACAUGCAAAAAGUUCAAUUUUUUUGUGGAGCUUACAAACAGGCAUAACAUAUGGAAUUACAAAUGAUAAAAUUAAGUAAUAAUCAUCUUGGCUGCACCACCAUGCCCUUACGAGAAACUAGGAACAACCAAAAUUGCAGAAAACUUAAACUAUAGUAUAUUAUAGUUUGAUUGCAACGGAAGAGAAAUGCACCCAAAAAAUAAGGUAUUAUGAUUAGCAUGCGACCAUUCAUUGAUAUCCUAGUAGCCAAUGUAAACAGCUACAACCUGAACAUUCACAAUCAAUAAAUCUAUCGGAUAUCGCAUGCAACCUGAGGUACAUACAACCUAUUCAGUGCAUCUAUUCAAGUCAUAAUAAUAUGAAACAGGCACUACUUCUAAUUCUCAUUAUUGCUAUACUCUAAGAAACAUGGUAAGAUUCACGAGCACAAAAAUGGUAGGUGAUGAGUCUGAGCAAGGGUUUUACUGAUGACUGGGAUAUCCAUCUCCAGGCCAAUGAGCUCGAGGAGCUUGAAACCGUCAAUGCCGGGCAUGAAAACAUCGCUGAUAACCAGGUCAAACUGGUCAUCCCUGUCCUUCCUCUCCCUGAGCAUGUCCAGUGCCGUCUCCGCCUCCAUCACUGUUGUCACUGCAUCGCAAUAAUUCCAACAAAAAAAAGAGGAAAUCAUCAAAAAAAUCAUCAUAUGGCCUUGACCUCUGAUCAGUCGGUCAUAAAGGAAUCGGAGCCAAGAAGGCAUGAACGAAAGCUCACCAUUGUUGUAGUUGCAAAGCUGUAGCAGUCUCUUUAGGACCGAGAGGCCGGUGCAGUCAUCGUCUACGGCGAGCACGCGCAGCCCUGCUAGGAACUUGUUCAUGUCCAUCUCUUCCUCCAUCAAAACAAACACGAUCAACAGCAAGAAAGCAACCUUAGAACAGCAAAAAUCCUGCAAGAAAUCUGACAACACCAAGAAAAACACCCCCAAACCCAAGAAGAUUGGACCUUUCUUUACCUGCUGCAAUGGCUUCCGUCCAAGAAUUUCCUGGAGGCUGGAGCAACACAACAAGAGGAUAUGAGUGUGAAGAAGGGAGUGAGAGAAGAACUCGAGGUGAAGAGCAAUGCAGCAGUGUGGAGGGGGAUUUAUAGCAGGGGGGCUGGGGGAGAAGGGCGGAUUCCAAACCAUGGGUCUGCAAGGAUGCAAGGUGUUCAACCUGGAGUUGGAUUCGCCUCUCAUUAAUUCCUUCCUUCAGUUAGAUAUGGCUCUAUCACCAGUGUGCUGGCCUUGCUUGUCUUUUCUAAGCUUAAGGCUAUAGUUCAGUUACUACUGGAUGGAAACCAGAGAAGAAUUGCCCAUGGAUUUCACUGGUUUUAAACCAAAUGUCAAAGGGUUGUUUUAGAGAGAGAGAGAGAGAGAGAGAUAACAAAAAAAUUAUUAUUAUUGUAGAAAUGCCAAGAUUAUUGGGUGUAAUCUUGGAAACCACAUGCCUUUCAUGCCACGUGAAAAAUCUGAAUGAAAGCUAUGAAUGUAUGAUCACCCAAGAUCAUCUUUGAUGUCUAAUAUGUUCCUCCUAUGGCGGAAUGAGCUAGUCAUUACCCUCUUUUGGCAAAAAGCGGUUAUCGCAUGAGCUGGCUGUGGAGGCAGCAAAACGUAAUGAUUGUUGUGGCAAUUGUUGGCGUGUAGCGUACUUGUAUCGGUAACGGUGGAAAUAUGUGUGAUGUCGUCUAUAUCAAUCAACGUAUAAAUUAAUGACAUUUCUGAAAUGUUGAUUAUUUCAAAAAUAAAAUCUGAAACGUUUGGGGAUAUUCAAAUUAGUAGUGACAAGAUCAACCCAAGUUGUGUAGCUGAGAUAAGAAACGGCCGAUUAUAUUAAAAGUUUUCAAGAUGGAUAAGGAAUGAGAUAGUCUGACCCUGUUUCAAACCAGGUACGUAAUACAGCUCGUGUACAUGAUCCAUUGAAUUAUGUCCAUGGAGACAAAGAAUUGCGUUAAUUCCAACUAUUUUAGGGGAAAAUACUUAUUGCUAGAGCUCCAAGGUAAUAUAGGGAUACCAUAGUGUAUAGUGUCUAAAUUUUUCUCCAAAAUAAGUAGUGGAAGUUGUUGCAAGGGAAAUCUCGAUGAAAAAUCUUUUCUUCUAGUAGCUCGAAAUCAGUAGUACCUCACUGGAGUUUAGCAGCAUUCUCGGGUCUUGUUUGUAGUUUGAUUUUUUUUUGUACGGAGAAUAAUCAAAUUAUACGCUCUGAAUUUAUUCAUCCAGCUCAUCUCUAAUGUCUAAUCCGCUUGACCUUCUAUAUGCAUGUAUGAAUGAAGGAGCAUGUACGGACCCUCUUUUUGAGAAAAAAAAAUGGUUGUUGCAACGACUUCACAGAAGUGGUGUAACGUUUAUAGGUUUAGGGUUUAGGAUAAUAGUAAGUAUAUGCUGGUAGGUCAUCCAUAGCAACACAGAAGUACCACUUUUGAAAUGACAGGAUAUUUGAAUUGAGUAGCCGCAAGUCAAAACCUCGCAGUAUACACCUCAGAGACUAGAAACAAUAGUUCAAAAUGUUCUUGAAGUAGAUAACUGAAAGUAUAUUGAUGUCGCCUAGAGGGGGGUGAGUGAAUAGGCGUAACCUGAAAUCGUCGCCACUUGAAACAAGUUUAUCAACGACUUGCGGAUUAUUCCGGAAAUACUUCCAGAGAUUCCGCAAAUUACAGAAUCUCCGAAGAAAUCUCUAGAAUCUCCGAAUAUAGGAAACACACGCCUUAAGCAGCGGAGUAAAAUUGUCUGCCUGAAAAUCGGAAUUUCUGGUUUCAAAACCAGAACUUCCGAGUUUUGGCUCAGGCAGAGAGAACCCCUCAAACCUUAUGCGUUGCAAGUGAGGUAAAGAUCAAACCAAGUUUAGAGAGUAUGCUCAGAUGGUGUAUCUUAGUAGGAUCACAAAGCUCAUGCACUUCACAAACACUAACACCCGAGUAGAUCAACCAAUAUUACGAGAUCAACAAUGAAAUGAAAGUGCAAUGCAAAUGUAAGCAAACCACUGAGGAGACACAAUGAUUUGUUUCACCGAAGUUCAAAUUCACCCUAGGCAAAUCCUACAUCUCCGUUGGAAGCGAAGCUCAACCUGCACAAACUAUCCCGCGGCUCACCACACCUUGGGAACUCUUGGGCGACGCCUAGCCGUCAGGAGGCACACCUCCAAGAAUAACAAAUGCUUCACUUGAAACAUGACAAGGCAAACCAGUGCUAAGGCGUAUGAGUGCUCUUCUGGUGCUCUCAAAUGGUUCCUCUCUACAACCCAACUCACGAGAUCUAGCAAAGAUCACACUACCUCACAAAGAGGGGUUGGGGAGAGCUAUUUGGCUUUAGUUCAGUUUAGAACAGGCAAGAAGCACGCCAGCAACUGCAAAAACAGCCCCCAGCCACUGAGGGGGCCGUGGGGUAUAAAUACUCCACUCCCCAAAAUAUAGCCGUUAGAGUUGUCAGACCAAAACCGGAACUUUCAGUUUUCCAAAACCGGAACCUCCGAUUUUUCAAACCAACUAGCCGUUAGGGGUUAAGUUCCGAAGUUUUUCGGAACUUUCUCCAGAAAAUCUGGAACCUCCGGAAUCUUCCGAAAACUCCGGAACUUUUUGUUUUGCUACUUCCUGACCCGUUAGUGUGUACGUGUGGCUUUUUGUGUCUCUCAUCCCUCACAUAGGAUAUUUGAGCACUGAGACUUUAUCAAAUGACCAUGUGAUGUAUCCCUCCUGAUAGUACGACACACCUAUACUCAAGAUCAAAAUAUAAAUACCAUAUUCAUCCUCUUGAGUUUCUUUACCACGAACUAUGCCAUACUUGAUAAUCAUAUCUACUUGAGAGUUGCAUCCAUCUUUGUCUCUUUGGUUUGAGCACUUCAACCUUGAGUUAGUGACUUGGAUCAAUAUUCAACCGCAUAUGAAUGAAAUCCAUUUUUAGAUCACAAGUCACUUCUUCAUAUGACUCAAUUGCAUCCCAUUGCUAUACUCGGUAAGGCUUGACUUGAUACCUCAAAAUCCUCCAAGCACUAGCCGCUUCACCCUAGCAAAGCUCAUGGCCUAAGUCACUACUUGACCAAACUUUGCCUACUACUUCGUUGCUAAUCGCUUGCUUGAUUUCUUCAUCCAAUCGCUGUCGUAUUUGAGUAUAGCUAUGUUUUGACCUCACGAAUGAAAUCCACUUGAGAUUAUAUCUUCUUUUAACUUCUAUAUCACAUUUGUUUAUAACAAGCUUCUCAUUUUAUUUAGAGACUAACUAAUAUCUCAAUGCCAUCAUGCCUCUAGCUUUACUUCAAUUUGCUUUGUCACAUGUCACACAUAGCCAUCAUGGGAUCCACAUAAUAUUCCUUAUUAUGACAUUCAUCUUUAACUCAAGCAAUCUUGCAAUAUGAGGCUACCCAAGCCUCAACUCUCUUUUACACCAUUGCUUGCUUAGAUGAACAAUGCCAUAUACAAUACUUGUUCUUUUCAUUGUAUGAGCCAUUUAAUACAAUCUUUCUCACAAAGAUUAUUUAUCAAUAGCAUUAUACCUGCUCAUAUACUUAACAAGUUCAUUAGAUCUUUAAUCAUGUUGUCAUUCAACUCACCAAAACCCACUAGGAGCCUAGAUCCUCUUUCAAUAAGGAAUGAGAUACCUUAUUUAGAAGCACACUUGAUACUGAUGCAUGAUUUUAUGAACAUUGGCAAUGGAGAUGAAGAAGUUUAUUAAUUCUUUCCAUCAAAUAAAAUAUAGGGAUUACGACAGCUGUGUAUUUGAUAAAAUUUACUCCAAGACCAAUCAUGACAUUAAUUUAUUUCGAGUGAGAAUAUAUAGCACAUACAGAACUUGCUAAUACUCCAAAGUGAAUGUCAUGUAUCUAGGGUGUCUGGGCCUGAGCCGGCCCAACAGCAUGUGGUCCAACAGGCUCAACAUGCCGACAAAAGGGAUUGUGCUACAGUAACCACGAGUGCUAUUGUACGCCUAGUGCUGAGAGUCCGCCUAGGUGAGGAUUUAGAAAGAGUCUAGGAAAUAGUAUUGCUUGUAAUUCAAGUCGAGUUAGGUUUUCUUGUAAGUUAAGUUAGCUUCUUCCUAGAAAUAUGAGAGGAGGGGUAAUGGAUUCAAUCACGUAGGAAAAAUAGCUUAGUUCCUCUCCUACCUUUUGCUAAUGCAAUCUGAAACAGCUUCCCAGCCAUACACCUCCCCAUCAUGAACAGUAACACCCCCAGCCAACCCUCCUUGGCCUCCAGCCACCCUCUCCUCCCUAUACAAUAAUUCAAGUACAUGACAGAUUGGUAUUCAGAACCAACAAUCUUUGGAUCUAGGUAGAAAAUUUUCUACCCAAUUUUUUCUCUCCCUCCUAAAACCACCUUUCUGUGAUGGAAGUUAACGAUAACAAAACUGAAGGAGAUCAUGAAAAGAUCCUUACAAAAAUUGGAUAUUCUCGGUGAAGCAAUAGAAACUUUUUGUAGAAUUGGGGAGCUAACACCUUCAACCAUGGCGGAAUAACACGGCUCUGCUCACCACGUAAACAGUGGUUGUGGUACUGUUCAUGAUGUGAAAGUACCUGUGGUACUGUUCGCCUCGUGGACAUCCCCAGUUUGGCCGCCUACAAGAUGGGAAAUGCCAGUGACAUUGCUGAAUAUCAAUCUGCUUCAUCAAUAACAAUCCCGACUAGCUACACCACGACCGUGUUUGCAUCUACUACACUAUGUCGUGCCUUGCAUCAUCAUCUUCCUCAACGCACAUGUGCUGCCGUCAGAAGCAAUGAUUCCACCUCCAACACCUAUAGCGCAGUCAUCUACAUCACCUUUUCCAACAGCAACUAUACUGACAGAUCUUGUCUCUACUUUGACCUACUGCACCACUACGUCAAUGACUACUUCUACCUUGGAGACAUGUAUCAAGGCGCCACCUGCCAACACUACACCAACAUUAGACCUAGAUGCAAGAGAUAAAUCUACCAUCGACAUGGAGGGGUUUGCCUCCACCAGAUCGUCUACUUCUCCAGCCCUCACUCUACACUAGGAUGACAAUGAAUCUACAUCUACAACUACCCCGAUUUCAUCCUUCAUUGACAACUCCGCGGAGCAACACGUACAAGUGAUUGUUACUAUGACUCCUGUCACGGGAACUAUCAUGGCAUCACCGCGCUCGUCGACAGUUUUUGAGGCCAUGACCUCGCAAUCUCCUACUCAAUGGUCCUAGGCUCCUGGGUUCUUGGAUCGUCAAACAUUCCCACUCCCUCCAACCCUUCCAUGCCAUUAAUUACAUUGAUCAGACUUUAGCCACUUUUCAAAUCAUGGCCAUACAUUAUUUAAUGUAGUAAUUUCCUUCCAAAAUAUUCUUUAUUACUUUCUCCUAAAUAUUGCUUUCCCGAUCACCUCAAUACCACUCACAUCCAGUUCCAUGUUCCCUGCCACUAAUUCCAUUGCACACAUUAGUUUUUAAAACCGCUGUGUUAGCACAGGUGAUAUAUAUUAAUAGGCUUGGAAUGACCCUGCAAUUGUGUGGCUAGAGAUUAAUUUUAUUCGCAGGUCCAAAAAGGAGAGGAAUUUACAUUAACUCAAUAUAGGUGCUAAUUUGCAAUGCUUAACCGUUCGUUAAGCUUAUUAUAGGAAGUAAAUAUAACUUCAAAGUGUUGCAAAUCUGGUUUUCCAUCCACGUAAACACAUGUACUAAGGUUGAGAAUACCAUUCAAGAGUAAAAUGUACCUAGGAUUCUGAUCUUGGUCCAUAUAUAUAGUCUCUUAUUGUGAGCAUCUAGAUCCUUAAACAACUUUUUAAAUGGUUCACUCUAAGUUCACAUUAGGUGCAGUAUUAAGUUUGGAUUUUCACUUGAAAUGAACCACUUGACAAGUUUAAGGGCUCACAUGUUCACUUAGAGAGUUAUUUUAUCUCGAACACGUAAGAGAAUUGUGUAUCAUUAUAUUAAGAAGAAUAAAGAGUUUAGGGUCUAAAUGGAAAUUCAGAACAAGUUAAAGGUCCAUGGGUGCGCAUUACUUCAUUUUAAAACACCAGAGUCCUAUUCUUGAAGGAAACCUGCCAUAUUUAGCGUUCAUAUAUCUGUGCAUAAAUAAGGUAAAAGAGCAAAUAAAUGGUUGUCCUGCUGGUUUUGAUGCAUGCACGAUUAGUCUUUGUCCCAAACUAAAAACAUGACACCUUCGGUUUCUUCAUGUUGGCUGAUUGUAACUUGCAUUUUUUUUAGUCUCAGAAUUCUAAUUGAUUCAGCGCGCGCCAUCAAGGCAACAUGGGUUGUGUUCGAUGAAAGAGGACCCAAUGACAAAGGUCUUCUGGACCUCAUCAAAUUGUUCAGCGCCUUGCAGCCUGCAAGUAAGCUUGUUUAUACCUUGACACAAAGUCUGAAUCAUGUCAGGCAAGGAAACUAAAAUCCCUGGUUUGAAUUUUUCUCUUGCUUGCAAGUACUGCUGUGUAUUAUUCUGUGUGAACUGAAAUAUGCCGGUGUUGAUCUCCAACAGGAGCAUGUUCUUGCCUGCAACAACUCAUAUGCAGAAUUGCAGAGAUAACCAUGCCAUGUUGAUCUUCAACAAGAGCAUGUUCUUGGCAUACAUCUAUCUUUACGACGACAAGACUUGCGAGCUGGAUGGCUCAACAAAGACCACAUUGCGUCACCAUUAAACAUUAUUGUGGAUAUGUAAGUGUAGUAUCAGAGUUUCAGUUUGCUGGUAUGAAUAUGAACCCUCAGUGAAAACAUAGGUUGGUAUUUUUCAAGUGUCCAUCGCUCAUGUGGUGUUGUCCAGAUUGCAUAAUGUUCUAGAGAGAUAAGGUACUCAGGUUCAGAAGCAGCAUUAUCUUCUCCAAUGGAAUACAAUAUCUGUGGAGUCGAGGCUGGUAGGUCUAUAUCAUAAUUUUGUUUCACUAUCUGAUCAUUCAUCUGGAUAGUUUAAGUCUCCUAAUAACAUAUGUGUGGGGUGGGGGUUAUUACUUGUAACAAGUUUUCGUUGUGCUACAGUCAGGUGCUCAACAUCUCAUCAGCAUGAUUAGCAAGAAACAACAGGAGAAAAGUUGUAAGGCCAUAGUAGUCUUUUUUUCAGAUUCACUUAUCGGCAGUUACUUGUCACGGCGAUCAAGGACUUAUCAUUUGAACUAUGUAUCUGCAACAAAGGGUGCUACAGACCGGGUUAUAGAACAAAGGUGACAAGAAAGUUUAGGUUAUACAUGGAUGGAGAUGUAUAGCUCAGUACGAUCAGGACAUGGAGGAGAUAUCCUACCACAAAGGUACUAUUGCUGUUACGAUCAAGGACUGCUAAAUCUGAAACAAAUAUUUGAUCCAAGGAAAAAUAAAAGAAAGCAGAAGGAAAUUUCCAUCGUACACAGCACAGGUUGAUCAACAAAGUUAAGAUGACAUAAAACUAAGUUAAAACUACAGCUGAUACAAGAGAGAACCCACAUGACUAAAACUAGAUAAACAUGGGAUUCCGCUGAAGAUAGCCUGCUCCUAGCUAGCCUGCUACUACAUAACACAAUUUUGCACUUGAGACAAGCAACAACCAUGGAUUGGUCAGCAGCUGCAUGCAGAACAUCUCUCACAUGUUCCCAUUGAAGAAAGCAUCACCAUUGCUGAGGAAAUCAGAUUGUCAGAAAGAAAAAGUUUAGAUAAUUAAACCUUAUUUAAGUAUUCAUCAGUUUCACAUGUAAAUCCUGCUGUAAAAUAAAAGGAUAGGAAAAGAGCAAGAAUGGUCUUACUUGCUUAACCCAGUCAGCCAAAAAGUCAUCCAAAUCAUCAAUCAUCGCCCCAUCUUGCGCUUCGCUUGUUCCGGUAGGGUGUUCAUUGUUGUUACUCACUUGAUCACCAACAGCUUGCUGAUCAACGGUGCCACCUCCAAGGAAGUUUCCAGAUGAACCCCUAUCACUCAGCAUCUGCGUCGGCAUAACAGAAUUUCCUAUCUGAAGGUUAGCCAAUGCAGGUCCAACACUUGAAGAACUACCCAAGGCAGAACUACCGACCGACAUUGCAGAGAUUCCAAAGUUGAAUGGUGCCACCUGCCCACUAAAACCUAGCAUUGGUGUGGUUCUCCCUGAUAGUCCUGCCAUUUGAUUAUGAUAUUCACUUCCAAAAGUUGGAACAUCGCCAGAGGAGGCUACAAAUCUUGAUGUCUGGUUGAUCCUGGCACUGCUUCCCUGUGAUGAACUAAUAAUAGAUGUUCCUGCACUAUGACCAACAUCAGGGAACCUCGAUUGCACACCAACACUCCAAGAGUUGCUAGGGUUACAAAGUCCAGCAAAUUGGUGAGAUUCCCUAGCAACUUGGUUGAAAUGGCCAGUUGGAGAUGGCUGAAUCUGGAUUGAAGGCUGGUUCACCAACUCCGACGAAUGCGAUGGUAAAUGAUGACUCGAAGGAGCCACUUGGUUGAAUAGGCCAGUAGAAGAUGGCUGAAUCUGAAUUGAAUGUUGGUUUGCCAACUCAGGAGACUGCAACGCUAAAUAACUGGGAAGAGCCGGCAUAUCACCACCUGCUAUCUCUUCAAAGAAGCUGUCGGCAUCAAAAGGAAUACCUCUAUUUGCAUCCAACAUCUUGCGACGCAAUAUGCUUGCAUACGAGCUGCAAGAACGAGUCGAAGGAAAGUGCAUGCUGGUGGUCGAUGGUGAACUGUCAUUUGAGAUGUUUGCAAAUGAAUUGCCAGAAGUACCAGAAGAGAAAGGUCUGCUUGUGUUGAACACCACACCAUUUGAUAUAUUUCCAGAUGAGCUGCUAGAAGGACCAGAAGGGAAGCACUGGCUUGCACUUGACAGCCCACCAAUUGACACGGUUCCAUAGGACCUGCCAGAAAAGAUUGAUCUGCUCACAUCCUGCACUGGCACUGACACUGGCACAACAUUUGUGGGCAGGUUGACACCAUUGCCAACUGGUUCGGUAUCCUGCUGUAAAUUGUGUGUUCCGAAUGCUGAUGGGCAACUUAUCCUUGCAAAACCAUUGCUUGAGCUGGACGUGCCAAUAGAGGAUGGAGAUGGUUGCACAAGUUCUAGAUGAUCCUGGGAACUGUUUGGUCCAUUCAUGUUGGCAGUUGUGUCACUCAGCCAUGCUUGUGGUUCAUCAACAAAAGGAUUUGAAUGGCUGAGUGUGCCCUCACUCAGCUUCCUCAGGUAGAUACGGUACUUCUGAAAUCAAAAGAUAGACAAGUUUAUUUCGUUAAUAAAAAAGAUUGAUAAGGACGUCAACACACAAUUGAAAGUGUUUUGUAGUAGUAAUGUUACAAAUGUAUGUGUUAAUCCCAAACUCAAUAUUUGUGUGCAAGCCAUUAGAACUUUUAUGUGUGGCACACGCAAGGUUCAGACGAGUGUCGCACACACAAAUUCCGUUGACAUAAACACAAGUAUUGUGUUUGAGAUGAUAACCCAGAAGAAACAAGUUUGAUUGAAUAUAUUGAACAAUAUUAUAGCAGAAAGAACUCAAACAUAGUAUUCAAGCAUAAUAGUAGAAACAAAACCUGCAGAUGACUUGCAACAUUGUCUCUACUGAGGCCGUCCACAUUCAUCACUUCAAGUAUGUUCUUUGGAACAGCCCCUGCAUUAACAGAAACAAAAUAAUUGUUACUUGAAACAAAUUUAACAUAAGAAUUAUGCUUCUUGUUGAUAGAUUUGCAACAAAAAGAGAAUCUUACUGUCCAUGCCAAUCUGAUUGAUGGCUUCCACAAACUUGCGGUGUAGCUGACCAGACCACUUGAUCCUUUGCCUCUUCUGGGUUGAUGUCCCCUCCUUGUCCUUUUCAGCACCAUCUCCAUCCUUUUUGUUCUUCUUCGAGUGCUUCGUGUGGUGUGCACUUUUCUUCCCAUCAGUGACGCUGUUCCUCACAUCGGUUCUAUCCUUCCUCACCACAUGCUUCCAUAUGUUUCUAAUAUGUUCCAUGCGUGUUGGCUUCACCAAAUAGUCACAAGCCCCGUUCUUUAUACCCUUCAUCAUAAUGUCCAUCUCAUCGUUUGCGGAUAGCACUGCAUGACACAUGGUCAACACAAGAUUAGUUAUGAAAUGCAAAAGCCAACAAGCUUGAUAGACUGGACAUCAAAUAAUUAACGUGCCUUUAUGUUAAUCAUUAGAGAUAUUUUUCCUUUUUCAUUUUAUUGAGUCAUUAUAUGUGCUGUUUACAUUAUGUUUGAAGAAAGUGUGUCACACAUGCUGCAGAACACCAAGUCCUGGCCAUGGCCACUUUUGCGUUUCAAAGAAUUUAAUAAGAGAAUUUAUAGAAUGUACAUUGUUCACCACAUCCUUAUUAUGAAAUCAACAAUAGCUCUAAUGACCAAUAUUCUUUUAAAGAAAACCACAAAAGUUUGUAGUUAUCUUGUGUGCACCAAGAGCUUACUAACCUACUGUGAUGCAUGAAACAUCAAAUGGUAGGAUUCUUAUUCGCUUGAUUUCAGCUAGUGAUUAUGAACUAACAAUAAUGUACAAAUUGUACUAGAAGCGACAAAAAAAUCAAUUGCACGUAGGGCUUACAUACAAACCUUAACUAAUGUAUGAAACUAAAAAUAACAAAGUAAAGGGAUCAACUUAAUGCCUUGACAACAAAAAAAUAUAGCAUGUAGGACCUCCAAACAAACUGUAAUGUAUGAAACUAAAAAUGACAACAUUAAGUGAUCAAUUCAACACCAUUUAUGGCUGGUAGACAAUUGGUAACAUACAAAAUUAUAAACAAGAAAAUUCAAUUGCAUGUAGGGCUUACUAACAAACUGUAAUAGUAUAUGUCGACGUUUAGUAACGUCAACUGGUGAAGAUUUGCCGCGUGAAUUCUCGGAUGGAUUAGCUCGCAAGACACAGGAGAUUUAUACUAGUUUGGGCGAUCCGCCCUACGUCCAGCUCGUGGUACAAGUUCUUUAUUCAUGUGCUUGAGGAGCACAGGGCUCAAGUUUGUAGUAGGGGUUACAAACGGUGCGUGUGUUCUACUGGGGAUCGAAUCCCUCUCCCGUUCCCCUCCAUGCCCUUAUAUACACGGCUCAUGGGAGGUGUUACACUGUUGGUCGCGUCCUCUUAUUCAGUCAGGCGUAUCCCUCUGACCAGUGGCCAUGGGCCCCGUCCCUCAGUCGGGGCUUCUCCUCGCUUGACUUCCGUCGAAACCUUCGUCCGGGGCCCGUUCGUCCGGUCGCCUCGGUCACCGAACCUGACCCCUACACUUAUCCGAGGGCGGCACCUGCCAUCAGUCUCAUCACCUGGCGUUGCCAUGAUUGUGGACGGAGACUGGGCAGGCAUGACCGGGCACAGUGUUGCGACACCGUCCCCGACUGGGGAUCUUUGUCUUGAAGUGGUUGUCGUGCUCUCCUAGGCACAGAAUACGGUACGCCUGACUGGUCAGCCCGUGUUUUCUUGUCUCAGCCCACGCGAGCACCGCUACGAUUGUCAUAUCAGGCAGACCUAGCCACGCCCUAGGGACGUGGUAGGCCUGGCCCAUCAUUGCGCCUCGACCUUCGCUUGGUAACUUGGGCCAGGCUAGCAAACUGUUUAUCUUGAUUCCCGGGCCUCCUUCUGGGGUACCGCCGGUUAGCUAAAUAAUGAUGUCAGUGGUUUUUCGUUCGGCCCAAUCGGUAUCUUCUUCCUAAUCUCACCCUUUUCCGGACUUGUCGAUCCGGGCUUGUCGAUAGAUUAAAGUAUCCCUAAUCUAGAUACCCGUAAGUAUAUGAACUAAAUUAGAAGUAACAAUAUGAGUGGUCAGUUCAACACCAUCUAGCUCUUAUGAACAAGCAGAAACGUAGAAAACACAUGCAAAAAGUUCAAUUUUUUUGUGGAGCUUACAAACAGGCAUAACAUAUGGAAUUACAAAUGAUAAAAUUAAGUAAUAAUCAUCUUGGCUGCACCACCAUGCCCUUACGAGAAACUAGGAACAACCAAAAUUGCAGAAAACUUAAACUAUAGUAUAUUAUAGUUUGAUUGCAACGGAAGAGAAAUGCACCCAAAAAAUAAGGUAUUAUGAUUAGCAUGCGACCAUUCAUUGAUAUCCUAGUAGCCAAUGCAAACAGCUGCAACCUGAACAUUCACAAUCAAUAAAUCUAUCGGAUAUCGCAUGCAACCUGAGGUACAUACAACCUAUUCAGUGCAUCUAUUCAAGUCAUAAUAAUAUGAAACAGGCACUACUUCUAAUUCUCAUUAUUGCUAUACUCUAAGAAACAUGGUAAGAUUCACGAGCACAAAAAUGGUAGGUGAUGAGUCUGAGCAAGGGUUUUACUGAUGACUGGGAUAUCCAUCUCCAGGCCAAUGAGCUCGAGGAGCUUGAAACCGUCAAUGCCGGGCAUGAAAACAUCGCUGAUAACCAGGUCAAACUGGUCAUCCCUGUCCUUCCUCUCCCUGAGCAUGUCCAGUGCCGUCUCCGCCUCCAUCACUGUUGUCACUGCAUCGCAAUAAUUCCAACAAAAAAAAGAGGAAAUCACCAAAAAAAUCAUCAUAUGGCCUUGACCUCUGAUCAGUCGGUCAUAAAGGAAUCGGAGCCAAGAAGGCAUGAACGAAAGCUCACCAUUGUUGUAGUUGCAAAGCUGUAGCAGUCUCUUUAGGACCGAGAGGCCGGUGCAGUCAUCGUCUACGGCGAGCACGCGCAGCCCUGCUAGGAACUUGUUCAUGUCCAUCUCUUCCUCCAUCAAAACAAACACGAUCAACAGCAAGAAAGCAACCUUAGAACAGCAAAAAUCCUGCAAGAAAUCUGACAACACCAAGAAAAACACCCCCAAACCCAAGAAGAUUGGACCUUUCUUUACCUGCUGCAAUGGCUUCCGUCCAAGAAUUUCCUGGAGGCUGGAGCAACACAACAAGAGGAUAUGAGUGUGAAGAAGGGAGUGAGAGAAGAACUCGAGGUGAAGAGCAAUGCAGCAGUGUGGAGGGGGAUUUAUAGCAGGGGGGCUGGGGGAGAAGGGCGGAUUCCAAACCAUGGGUCUGCAAGGAUGCAAGGUGUUCAACCUGGAGUUGGAUUCGCCUCUCAUUAAUUCCUUCCUUCAGUUAGAUAUGGUUCUAUCACCAGUGUGCUGGCCUUGCUUGUCUUUUCUAAGCUUAAGGCUAUAGUUCAGUUACUACUGGAUGGAAACCAGAGAAGAAUUGCCCAUGGAUUUCACUGGUUUUAAACCAAAUGUCAAAGGGUUGUUUUAGAGAGAGAGAGAGAGAGAGAGAGAUAACAAAAAAUUAUUAUUAUUGUAGAAAUGCCAAGAUUAUUGGGUGUAAUCUUGGAAACCACAUGCCUUUCAUGCCACGUGAAAAAUCUGAAUGAAAGACAUGAAUGUAUCAUCACCCAAGAUCAUCUUUGAUGUCUAAUAUGUUCCUCCUAUGGCGGAAUGAGCUAGUCAUUACCCUCUUUUGGCAAAAAGCGGUUAUCGCAUGAGCUGGGUGUGGAGGUAGCAAACGUAAUGAUUGUUGUGGCAAUUGUUGGCGUGUAGCCUACUUGUAUCGGUAACGGUGGAAAUAUGUGUGAUGUCGUCUAUAUCAAUCAACGUAUAAAUUAAUGACAUUUUUGAAAUGUUGAUUAUUUCAAAAAUAAAAUCUGAAACUUUGGGGAUAUUCAAAUUAGUAGUGCCAAGAUCAACCCAAGUUGUAGCUGAGAUAAGAAACAGCCGAUUAUAUUAAAAGUUUUCAAGAUGGAUAAGGAAUGAGAUAGUCUGACCCUGUUUCAAACCACAGCUAGGUACGUAAUACAGCUCGUGUACAUGAUCCAUUGAAUUAUGUCCAUGGAGACAAAGUAUUGCGUUAAUUCCAACUAUUUUAAGGGAAAAUACUUAUUGCUAGAGCUCCAAGGUAAUAUAGGGAUACCAUAGUGUAUAGUGUCUAAAUUUUUCUCCAAAAUAAGUAGUGGAAGUUGUUGCAUGGGGAAUCUCGAUGAAAAAUAUUUUCUUCUAGUAGCUCGAAAUCAGUAGUACCUCACUGGAGUUUAGCAGCAUUCUCUCGGGUCUUGGUUUGUAGUUUGAUUUUUUUUGUGUACGGAGAAUAAUCAAAUUAUACGCUCUGAAUUUAUUCAUCCAGCUCAUCUCUAAUGUCUAAUCCGCUUGACCUUCUAUAUGCAUGUAUGAAUGAAGGAGCAUGUCCGGACCCUCUUUUUGAGAAAAAAAAUGGUUGUUGCAACGACUUCACAGAAGUGGUGUAACGUUUAUGGGUUUCGGGUUUAGGAUAAUAGUAAGUAUAUGCUUGUAGGUCAUCCAUAGCAACACAAAAGUACCACUUUUGAAAUGACAGGAUAUUUGAAUUGAGUAGCUGCAAGUCAAAACCUCGCAGUAUACACCUCAGAGACUAGAAACAAUAGUUCAAAAUGUUCUUGAAGUAGAUAAGUGAAAGGAUAAUGAUGUUGCCUCGAGGGGAGUGAAUAGGCGUAACCUGAAAUCAUCACCACUUAAAACAAGUUUAUCCACGACUUGCGGAUUAUUCCGGAAAUACUUCCGGAGAUUCCGCAAAUUACGGAAUCUCCGAAGAAAUCUCUGGAAUCUCCGAAGAUAGGAAACACACGCCUUAAGCAGCGGAGUAAAAUUGUCUGCCUGAAAAUCGGAAUUUCCGGUUUCAAAACCAGAACCUCCGAUUUUGGCUCAGGCAGAGCGAACCCCUCAAACCUUAUGCGUUGCAAGUGAGGUUAAGAUCAAACCAAGUUUAGAGAGUAUGCUCAGAUGGUGUAUCUUAGUAGGAUCACAAAGCUCAUGCACUUCACAAACACUAACACCCGAGUAGAUCAACCAAUAUUACGAGAUCAACAAUGAAAUGAAAGUGCAAUGCAAAUGUAAGCAAACCACUGAGGAGACACAAUGAUUUGUUUCACCGAAGUUCAAAUUCACCCUAGGCAAAUCCUACAUCUCCGUUGGAAGCGAAGCUCGACCUGCACAAACUAUCCCACGGCUCACCACACCUUGGGAACUCUUGGGCGACGCCUAGCCGUCAGGAGGCACACCUCCAAGAAUAACAAAUGCGUCACUUGAAACAUGACAAGGAAAACCAGUGCCAAAGUGUAUGAGUGCUCUUCUGGUGCUCUCAAAUGGUUCCUCUCUACAACCCAACUCACGAGAUCUAGCAAAGAUCACACUACCUCACAAAGAGGGGUUGGUGUAACGCCCGCAGAAAUCACCAACUAAAACCACCCGUUAAAAACUAUCUUUAAAAUCUUUUUACCGCUGAGCUCCCGGAAGUCGGAAAUCUCCCCGGCGAUUUCGCCGUCCCGGUACCCAUGCCGACCCCCACAUAUCUUUUUAUCUGUGCCGUAAAUCUCGCCGCGUGCCGUAGUCAGACCGCCGCGCGCGUGCUCUGACCGCGUGCCGCAAUCGCCGCCGGUCCCUCUCUUUUUCUUUCUCCUUUUCCCCCUUUUCUUUUCCUUUCUUUUCUUCCUUCUUCCUUUCUUCCUCCUUCUUCUCUCUUCUUCCUUCCUUCCUCUCUCUCCUUUCUUCUCCUGGCACCCGGCGCCACAUCCACUGGCGCCACUCCUCCGCCUGGCCCGGCGCCAUUACUCCCGCCGGCGCGCGCGCUCCCUGGCGCCACGCCGCCCGGCCACCUGGGGCCCGCCACCGAGCCACGUGCCGCCGCCCGGCGCCGGCUCCCCAGCCGUCUGGCCCGCCGGCCACCCCGGCCGACGCGCCACUCCCGGACCCCUACCUCCCGCACGCCGCGGGACCCGCCCUUUGCCGUGCCGACCACCGCAACGCCACCUCCCAGCUACCAUGCCACCGGCUCGGCCUGCCCGGCCCCUACCCCGUGCUCCGGCCCCGCCGGACACUCCGCCGCACGCCGGCCACCCGGACCCCCACCACCGGAGCUCUCCCCACCGCCUAUAAAAGGGUCGGCCCUCGCCGGCUCCUCUCCCCACUCACCAACACCACCACCCGCCACGCCCUUACUCCGGUCGCCGACGCCGCCUCAAGCCGCUACCGCCGCUGCGAGCCGCCGCCGCCGCCGCAAGCCGCCGCCUCCUCCCGCCCGAAGGCUGACGCCAUCCGGCCGCUCCUCCCCAUUUCCCCCCAAGGUGAGGGGCAAAACGGAGCCCUCCACCCCAUCCUCCACCACCCCGGCCCUCGGCCGCCGCCGGCGAAGCCGACCGGCCGGCCGCCGCCGGCCACCACCCACUCUCUCUCUCUCUUCCUCUGGUUCCUGGAAGAAGAAAGAGCAAAAUUCCUAAGAAUCCCGAUCUGACCCCCUCUUUCCCCCUAUUCGCAAAUGAGUCCUUCCACCACUCCCAAGGGACUCUCACGGAUAAGCCCCUCCACCUCUAUAAAUAUUUACAGAUAGGUCCCUGGUUUAUUACAAAUCAGUCCUAAACCUCCGUUUAAGCCCCUAAUUCAUGUUUAACCCGUCAUUUCAUGCGCCAAACUUCCUCCAAUUAAUCCCAAAUUUUACCACGUCAUCCUCUGGAAUACUUUCGCCGAUCUAUAUCCAAAUUUCCCAAAAAUAAUCCUUCUACCUAUUUUCCGUUCGCGUUUCCUGUUCGGAGCUCACGGUUAAAAACCGUUUCCUCUUUUAUUUAUUUGUGUGUCUGUUUGUGCGUACCGUAGAUCGCAGAUUGCCCGAGGAGGAGCCCGAAGAGGAGUUUGACCGCGAGCCCGAGCCCGAGGACCAGUACCGCGAGCCGGAGCUACCGGAAGGCUUUGAAGACGGCAAGUCCAAUCUCACCCUUUGAUGCAUACUUAAUACCUAGCUUUUCAAACACAACCUAUUGACCUGUUUUACAAAAUGCAUAUUAUUUCAUCGCAAGACAUGGUUGGAUAGCCACCCCUUGAUUGUUAUAAACAUUCCUUGUUAUCCUACGCUUAUCUCUAAAUAUGACUUGCUCUGUUUAGAUGAUAACCACUGCUAGAACGCUUAGGAAUUUGUUACUCAACUGCAAUCAUUAUUACAAUGGUGUAUUCGGAAAAUAAAUGUGUGUGUGUGUCCAAGUAAAAGAAAUGACUUUUGGGUUCGGGGAAAGAGGAUGUGUAGACGGGAUGGAUGGGUGUUCCUUGUGUGGGAUGCCCUGUUGUUGUGCUCGUACCUUGGUGGUUGAGCAAUGUCGGGAGAUAUCCAUCUUGUCAUGAUUAAGGACCGAGUUGAUGUGUCAUCUUGCCUAAUUCCACCAUCGUGCAACCACUCGACCGUUGUAUGGGCAACGGCUUAGCAUAAAUCCCACUAGCUGAAUUGUCAGUCCUCAGGGGUGCUGGUGAGCAACGGGAACCCAUGGAAAAGGAGUAAGAUCUUGGUGACUUAGGUCCCGGUUACGGUAUCAUGGACGAGCCGUGAACCCCUUGGGUGUUUCCGCGAGGACUAGCCAGUCUUAGCUAAGGUGGGUAAUGGCUUUGUUAGGAUCCGUACCGUCACUAAGGUGAUCGUGAUGCGGUACCCUACUUGUGGGAAAAGUGUACACCCUCUGCAGAGUUAAAACCUAUCCGGGUAGCCGUGUCCACGGCAUUGGACGAGUUACAGCUUGGUCACAUAACUAGUACUUGGGCAAGGUUGUCAUGUGUGUGUGUGUGUUGGAUUUUGGAAGAGUCCGGCAGAUGUGCCGUGCGCUAUGGCGGACGGGGAGUCCGAUAGCGAUAAAAGCUUGGAUCCUUUGUGUAGGAUCAACCCCACUCAAUGUUUCGGGUAUUAAAGGAAAACUUUACAAAACCCUUUCGAAAACGAUCCCCUGCAUGUGUUAAAAUUUAGCUUUACCGCAAAUAAACUCUAGCCUAUCCUUGAUGUACCUGUGCAUAAACUUGCUUGUAUCCCCCUCCGUGGAUGGGGUUGGACUUGUUGAGUACGUAUGUACUCACCCUUGCUUCGUUGCUACAGAGGAGGACCCGGACUUCGUCGCCGAGGACCUUGAGUAGAGGUUGUGUCCGCACCCGACGCUGCCUGUGGUGUUGGCCUACCCAAGAUGCUGCUGCUGCCGUGUAGCCCCGAGUGCUGUCUUUUGGUAGUCGCUUGGUUAGCUGCCGUUAUUUAUUUACUGUUUAUCGCUGCGUGGCUUUCACGCCCACUCCCUCGGGAGUUGUACGGUAACUGAAUUAUCUGUCGAAUAAAUGUGUUAUCAGCCUCCUGGGACUGAUAUUUGUAUCACAUUUAGUCUCUACUUAUGUGGGGACGCUUCAGUUGGGGAGAGCUAUUUGGCUUUAGUUCAGUUUAGAACAGGCAAGAAGCACGCCAGCAACUGCAAAAACAGCCCCCAGCCACUUAGGGGGCCGUGGGGUAUAAAUACUCCACUCCCCAACAUAUAGCCGCUAGAGUUGUCAGACCAAAAUCGGAACUUUCAGUUUUCCAAAACUGGAACCUCCGGUUUUUCAAACCAACUAGCUGUUAGGGGUUAAGUUCCGAAGUUUUUCGGAACUUUCUCCAGAAAAUCUGGAACCUCCGGAAUCUUCCGAAAACUCCGGAACUUUUUGUUUUGCUACUUCCUGACCCGUUAGUGUGUACGUGUGGCUUUUUGUGUCUCUCAUCCCUCACAUAGGAUAUUUGAGCACUGAGACUUUGUCAAAUGACCAUGUGAUGUAUCCCUCCUGAUAGUACGACACACCUAUACUCAAGAUCAAAAUAUAAAUACCAUAUUCAUCCUCUUGAGUUUCUUUACCACGAACUAUGCCAUACUUGAUAAUCAUAUCUACUUGAGAGUUGCAUCCAUCUUUGUCUCUUUGGUUUGAGCACUUCAACCUUGAGUUAGUGACUUGGAUCAAUAUUCAACCGCAUAUGAAUGAAAUCCAUUUUUAGAUCACAAGUCACUUCUUCAUAUGACUCAAUUGCAUCCCAUUGCUAUACUCGGUAAGGCUUGACUUGAUACCUCAAAAUCCUCCAAGCACUAGCCGCUUCACCCUAGCAAAGCUCAUGGCCUAAGUCACUACUUGACCAAACUUUGCCUAGUACUUCGUUGCUAAUCGCUUGCUUGAUUUCUUCAUCCAAUCGCUGUCGUAUUUGAGUAUAGCUAUGUUUUGACCUCACGAAUGAAAUCCACUUGAGAUUAUAUCUUCUUUUAACUUCUAUAUCACAUUUGUUUAUAACAAGCUUCUCAUUUUAUUUAGAGACUAACUAAUAUCUCAAUGCCAUCAUGCCUCUAGCUUUACUUCAAUUUGCUUUGUCACAUGUCACACAUAGCCAUCAUGGGAUCCACAUAAUAUUCCUUAUUAUGACAUUCAUCUUUAACUCAAGCAAUCUUGCAAUAUGAGGCUACCCAAGCCUCAACUCUCUUUUACACCAUUGCUUGCUUAGAUGAACAAUGCCAUAUACAAUACUUGUUAUUUUCAUUGUAUGAGCCAUUUAAUACAAUCUUUCUCACAAAGAUUAUUUAUCAAUAGCAUUAUACCUGCUCAUAUACUUAACAAGUUCAUUAGAUCUUUAAUCAUGUUGUCAUUCAACUCACCAAAACUCACUAGGAGCCUAGAUCCUCUUUCAAUAAGGAAUGAGAUACCUUAUUUAGAAGCACACUUGAUACUGAUGCAUGAUUUUAUGAACAUUGGCAAUGGAGAUGAAGAAGUUUAUUAAUUCUUUCCAUCAAAUAAAAUAUAGGGAUUACGACAGCUGUGUAUUUGAUAAAAUUUACUCCAAGACCAAUCAUGAAAUUAAUUUAUUUCGAGUGAGAAUAUAUAUAGCACAUACAGAACUUGCUAAUACUCCAAAGUGAAUGUCAUGUAUCUAGGGCGUCUGGGCUUGAGCCGGCCCAACAGCACGUGGUCCAACAGGCUCAACAUGCCGACAAAAGGGAUUGUGCUACAGUAACCACGAGUGCUAUAGUACGCCUAGUGCUGAGAGUCCGCCUAGGUGAGGAUUUAGAGUCUAGGAAAUAGUAUUGCUUGUAAUUCAAGUCGAGUUACGUUUGCUUGUAAGUUAAGUUAGCUCCUCCCUAGAAAUAUGAGAGGAGGGGUAAUGGAUUCAAUCACGUAGGAAAAAUAGCUUAGUUCCUCUCCUACCUUUUGCUAAUGCAAUCUGAAACAGCUUCCCAGCCAUGCACCUCCCCAUCAUGAACAGUAACACCCCCAGCCAACCCUCCUUGGCCUCCAGCCACCCUCUCCUCCCUCUACAAUAAUUCAAGUACAUGACAUAUUGGUAUUCAAAACCAACAAUCUUUGGAUCUAGGUAGAAAAUUUUCUACCCAAUUUUUUCUCUCCCUCCUAAAACCACCUUUCUGUGAUGGAAGUUAACGACAACAAAACUGAAGGAGAUCAUGAAAAGAUCCUUACGAAAAUUGGAUAUUCUCGACGAAGCAAUAGAAACUUUUUGUAGAAUUGGGGAGCUAACACCUUCAACCAUGGCGGAAUCACACGGCUCUGCUCACCACGUAAACAGUGGUUGUGGUACUGUUCAUGAUGUGAAAGUACCUGUGGUACUGUUCGCCUCGUGGACAUCCCCAGUUUGACCGCCUACAAGAUGGGAAACGCCAGCGACAUUGCUGAAUAUCAAUCUGCUUCAUCAAUAACAAUCCCGACUAGCUACACCACGACCGUGUUUGCAUCUACUACACUAUGUCGUGCCUUGCAUCAUCAUCUUCCUCAACGCACAUGUGCUGCGUCAGAAGCAAUGAUUCCACCUCCAACACCUAUAGCGCAGUCAUCUACAUCACCUUUUCCAACAGCAACUAUACUGACAGAUCUUGCCUCUACUUUAACCUACUGCACCACUACAGGGGUGUUUGGGAGACAGGGGCUAAACUUUAGCCCUGUCACAUCGGAUGUUCGGAUGUUAAUUAGAACGACUAAAUAUGAGCUAAUUAUAAAAUUAAUAGCAGAACCCCUAGGCUAAAUCGCAAGACGAAUCUAUUAAGCCUAAUUAAUCCAUCAUUAGCGAAUGGUUACUGUAGCACCGCAUUGUCAAAUCAUGGACUAAUUAGGCUUAAUAGAUUCGUCUCGCGAUUUAGCCUAGAGGUUGUGCAAUUAGUUUUGUAAUUAACCAAUGUUUAAUACUCUUAAUUAGUGUCCAAACAUCUGAUGUGACAGGGGCUAAAUUUUAGCCCCUGUGUGCCAAACACCCCCACGUCGAUGACUACUUCUACCUUGGAGACAUGUAUCAAGGCGCCACCUGCCAACACUACACCAGCAUUAGACCUAGAUGCAAGAGAUAAAUCUACCAUCGACAUGGAGGGGUUUGCCUCCACCAGAUCGUCUACUUCUCCAGCCCUCACUCUACACUAGGAUGACAAUGAAUCUACUUAUCUACAUCUACAACUACCUUGAUUUCGUCCUUCAUUGAUAACUCCACGGAGCAUCACGUACAAGUGAUUGUUACUAUGACUCCCGUCACGGGAACUAUCAUGGCAUCAAUAGUCGUGAUUGCAUCUAAAACGAUCUGUAGUACCACCACCUCUACGUCGGCACCUUCUUCCCCUACUACACCAAACAAACAUGAAGGCAAAGACAUCAGGACACCACCCAUCUUCGUCACCAGAGCUGCAUCAAUGACACACUACGCCCGAGAGGAACCACAACCUCCACAAGUUAACUCCCCUAUGGUCAUCAUCUUCAUGCUACUCGUGUGCUGCUGUUUUUUCACAAGGAGGCGACAAAAACCAGCACACCAACUGUGUCGUAGCAUCUCACCAUGGGGCUACCUCGGG
This 29471-nucleotide long non-coding RNA is filed under the name Setaria viridis. Its description in RNAcentral is "long non-coding RNA (SVIR_LNC004940)". Lineage: Eukaryota; Viridiplantae; Streptophyta; Magnoliopsida; Poales; Poaceae. The record is from RNAcentral.